This is a small nucleolar RNA of Cricetulus griseus (Chinese hamster), 89 nucleotides long. Its record names the gene SNORA70. It matches the Rfam family "Small nucleolar RNA SNORA70". From Rfam's summary of the family: snoRNA U70 seems to be exclusive to mammals and is a member of the H/ACA class of snoRNA which contain H (ANANNA) and ACA box motifs. H/ACA box snoRNAs are involved in the conversion of uridines to pseudouridines (5-ribosyluracil) a constituent of structural RNAs (transfer, ribosomal, small nuclear, and small nucleolar). NCBI's taxonomy places the organism in Eukaryota, Metazoa, Chordata, Mammalia, Rodentia, Cricetidae. The record is from Ensembl.
AUGUACAAUGGCUGCCAACAGCAGCUUCCUUGGUGGUGUAUGCAACCUGUUGUCUGUAUGGGUUGUCCUAAGGGACGAUGAAGAUAGUA